GUUUUAAAGGAAUUACUUUUUACUGCAUUGCACCAAUGUUGGAAAUUUAGAUAAAACUCCUUUGUUCUCUGUUUCUCUUCCAAUGUGCUGAUGUAAUCUUACACUCCGUUCCACGUCUCUGUUUCAGUGUUCCAGAAUGUGGGAUGGAUGCAAAAUAAGGCUGAACAUUAGAUUCCUGGAGUUUGUAAGGCAUUACGGUGUUUUUGUUGGAGAAGUGGGUUUCGAUCCGGUGUGAUCUCAGGUUCCUCUCUCCCACGCCGUAAGGAUGACAAGCUGUUACAGCAAAUGUCUCAAUCAUCA
This is a long non-coding RNA of Ictalurus punctatus (channel catfish), 300 nucleotides long. The record is from Ensembl. NCBI's taxonomy places the organism in Eukaryota, Metazoa, Chordata, Actinopteri, Siluriformes, Ictaluridae.